Non-coding RNA from Spirochaetes bacterium GWC1_61_12, 173 nucleotides. The record is from Rfam. Lineage: Bacteria; Pseudomonadati; Spirochaetota.
GCCACCGCGAGGUGGAAUCUGAAGGAAGGUGAAGGCAAAGCGCUGGCUUGACGAACAGAAAUCCCAUAAGAGGCACACAAAGAGGAAGAGAAGGCUAAUAUCUUCAAAAUCCAAAUCUUACCCGGAAUCUCUGUGUGUAGAUGUGGCAGGCAUAAGCGUGAAAGUAGGGCGCA